UUUAAAUCGAAGUUUAUUAAAGGGAGCUGUGCACAUAGACUUAAGAUACAGAGACAGAAAUAACACUUACAGUGAUGUCUUAACUACCUUGAUUAGACAAGUCCAGCAAUUACACAUUCAUUGAUCAGCAUACAUACAAAUAAUAUUGAAACUAGGAUUGGUGCAAAAAAAAAAAAAAUAAGAAAAUUAUCCUAAAUGGUUUAAGUGCUAUUGUGAAACUAAUUUAAAUUUUCUAUUUAUAAAUCAUGAAAUAAAUACAAUAAAAUAUUGUGAUGCAUUUUCAUUAUGAUUUCAAAGGGAGAGUGGAAAUCUGUACAAAUUCGUAAAGCAGCACUAUUUUUGUAAUAAAACAUGAAAUGGGAAUAAAGUA
Molecule: long non-coding RNA, 370 nt
Organism: Thalassophryne amazonica
Lineage: Eukaryota; Metazoa; Chordata; Actinopteri; Batrachoidiformes; Batrachoididae
Exons: 2
Source: RefSeq, a predicted model, not a curated record